This 284-nucleotide ribosomal RNA is filed under the name uncultured bacterium. RNAcentral describes it as "partial 16S ribosomal RNA". It matches the Rfam family "Bacterial small subunit ribosomal RNA", at positions 30 to 313 of the family's 1533-position model. The record is from RNAcentral.
AUUGAACGCUGGCGGCGUGCUUAACACAUGCAAGUCGUGCGGUAACAGGCGUAGCAAUACGUGCUGACGAGCGGCGAACGGGUGCGUAAUACAUGGGAAUCUGCCUUUUAGUGGGGAAUAACCCGGCGAAAGCCGGGCUAAUGCCGCAUAAGAUCUUCGGAUGAAAGCGGGGGAUCGUAAGACCUCGCGCUGAUAGAUGAGCCCAUGCCGGAUUAGCAGUUGGUGAGGUAACGGCUCACCAAGGCGACGAUCCGUAGCUGGUCUGAGAGGACGGCCAGCCACAC